UCAUGCACGUUUCAGAUGUUCUGCUCCAGCCAAACAAAUUGUCCGGGCUUAAUUUCUGAGAAAUCAUGGUCAGGAAUUGCUGAACCAGUUUAAUUCUAAAGCACAUAUUUAUACGGGGCUUCAAAAUUCACAUCCUUGCACACCAUUACAAAUGGAAGGGAGAGAAAGUUUAAUCAGGAAUAAGGUUAGGUCUGAGCAGGGAGGGCGGAGGAGAAAGUGGCAGGAGCAGCUAAAGCCGAAAGCCCUGCAUUUAGUGAACAUUGCUUGGGCAGCCAGGGCUGAGGGUCUGGACUCCCCUGGGCUCAGAUCCAUGACAAGCUAAUCUGAAAAAAAAAAAAAAAUGAUGUAUAAGAGGAGCCCAAGGCUGUGUGUCUCAUGGGACAUCGAGGCUUCAGGAUGACGUGGCCUGUUUAGUUUUCUGUUCACUGGCCCCUGCCACCUUCUCCACUGUUACCCAAUGGAGGAUACCCUGCUCUUGUCUCCCCUGCCUUACCCAGGUGCCUCCCCACAGAUGAAGUUGAAGGGGGCAGGAAAGGUUGGUCACCUGGCAGGAGGCAGUUGGAGCCUGUACCCCAGAAGAAAGAAGUCAGGGAGAUGCUUGCUAACGGAGGUCUCCUGCCACACUGUGCCGGCUCAUCUUCCUCAGCUGCAGGGCGACCAAAGGCCCAGCCCCAUUCAUCACUCCACGCUGUAGGCUGGUGGCCUGAGUGGUACGUGGAAAAAUACGUAGGACUUGGAGCAAAAGCAGGCCGGAAUGCCAUGGAUUCAGAGGUGGCUGUUUCCUCCUAGGUAGACUCAAAAGAGCACUGGCUGAGGAGUCCACGGGUAAGGAGACAGUGUUGCAUCAUGCCCUAGACCUUGGGCUCUUGAACCGGCUGCCUGGAUUCAGCUCCAGCUUAUCAGCUCUGUGACUUCGAGUAAAUCUUUAAUUUUGUUGAGUCUCAACUAUAAAACGAGCACAAGAAUGGGGCCUACCUCUUUGGGCUGGUGAGACAAUGCAUGAAAGAUGCGGCAUGCAGCAGAUGUGCUGGGCCCCUUCUGCUGUUCUCUUGACCCUCGUGUCACCUGCAGGCUUUCUGGGUGGUUCCAGCAUGCCCAUGGCCGCCUCCUUCAAGCGCCUGUGAUUCUCUCUGCCCAAGGGCUUCUCUAGCUACAUGAGGGUGUUUAGUCCCAACAUGGGGCAU
This 1184-nucleotide long non-coding RNA is filed under the name Felis catus (domestic cat). RNAcentral describes it as "lncRNA (ENSFCAG00000048488.1)". Lineage: Eukaryota; Metazoa; Chordata; Mammalia; Carnivora; Felidae. The record is from RNAcentral.